Molecule: ribosomal RNA, 444 nt
Filed under: uncultured Eubacteriales bacterium
Lineage: Bacteria; Bacillati; Bacillota; Clostridia; Eubacteriales
Description: bacterial SSU rRNA
Rfam family: Bacterial small subunit ribosomal RNA
Source: RNAcentral
UGCCUACGGGUGGCAGCAGUGGGGAAUAUUGGGCAAUGGGGGAAACCCUGACCCAGCAACGCCGCGUGAAGGAAGAAGGUCUUCGGAUCGUAAACUUCUAUCCUUGGUGAAGAUAAUGACGGUAGCCGAGAAGGAAGCCCCGGCUAACUACGUGCCAGCAGCCGCGGUAAUACGUAGGGGGCAAGCGUUGUCCGGAAUGAUUGGGCGUAAAGGGCGCGUAGGCGGCCUGGUAAGUCUGGAGUGAAAGUCCUGCUUUUAAGGUGGGAAUUGCUUUGGAUACUGCUGGGCUUGAGUGCAGGAGAGGUAAGUGGAAUUCCCGGUGUAGCGGUGAAAUGCGUAGAGAUCGGGAGGAACACCAGUGGCGAAGGCGACUUACUGGACUGUAACUGACGCUGAGGCGCGAAAGUGUGGGGAGCAAACAGGAUUAGAUACCCUAGUAGUCUG